CUGUUCGCUUCAGCAGCACGCAGACUAAAAUCGGAGCGAUAUGGAGAAGCAGAGCACGGCUCCUGUGUCAGGAAGACCCGAAAAUUCAUGAAGUGUCCCAUAGUUAA
This is a small nuclear RNA of Jaculus jaculus (lesser Egyptian jerboa), 107 nucleotides long. NCBI's taxonomy places the organism in Eukaryota, Metazoa, Chordata, Mammalia, Rodentia, Dipodidae. The record is from Ensembl.